RNAcentral lists this unclassified non-coding RNA (2396 nucleotides) under Polistes canadensis. RNAcentral's name for it is "folylpolyglutamate synthase, mitochondrial-like, transcript variant X2". The record is from RNAcentral. Lineage: Eukaryota; Metazoa; Arthropoda; Insecta; Hymenoptera; Vespidae.
UUAUGAUGAUAUUUCUUGAAUGAAUUAUUCAUGUUUUUAACACGUAACAUAUAUAAUUACUUUAAAAAAAAAAAAUGUGUCUUUUCUCGAUAGUAUGGGAUUUGCAAGAUUUCAAUUUUCUAUUGCUCAUAUUUUCGAAAUCACAUGUCUCAGAAUUGCGAAAAUUGUAAAGAACAUGUAUAACGAGCGUUCCAGUUAUACCAUUAGAAAUUACCAUGAUGCUGUUAAAAAGUUGCAGAGUCUUCAAAGUAAUUCUAAUUAUAUCAAAAUUGCUACAAAUAAUCCAACACAAAAUUCGGCCAAGUUGAAGGAUAUGGAAAAAUAUUUAAAUAGGUCUGGUAUUAGCUUGGAACAACUGGACGAGCUCUCUGUUAUACAUGUAGCCGGUACCAAAGGAAAAGGUUCCGUAUGUGCUUUUACAGAAUCCAUAUUGCGAGCGCAUGGAUUUAGAACUGGUUUUUAUAGUUCACCUCAUUUAAUUACCGUUAAAGAACGAUUUAGGAUAAAUGGCUCUCCUAUUGAUGAAAAAGAUUUUGCUUAUUAUUUUUGGGAUUUAUAUAGAAAAUUAGAUAACUCGAAAGAAUCUGAAUUGGACAUGCCAAUGUAUUUCAAAUUUCUUACCAUUUUAAUGUUUAAUAUGUUUUUACGUGAAAAUAUAGACGUAGCAAUUAUAGAAGUUGGAAUAGGGGGAGAAUACGACUCAACCAAUAUCAUAAGAAAUCCUGUAUGUGUUGGUAUAACGAGUUUAGCGCUAGAACAUACUUCUAUAUUAGGAAAUACAAUAGAAGAAAUAGCAUAUCAGAAAGCAGGUAUUUUCAAACCAAAUACAAUUGCGUUUACAGUCCCUCAACAAAAAGAAGCUUUAGAAAUAUUGAAAGAAAGAGCAAUCGAGAGGCAAACCGUUUUACACAUUACGCCAUCGUUUCAGGAUUAUAAAUGGAAAAAUAAUGUAUUAAACAAUACAACGUUUAGUCAAAUUCAACAACAAAAUGCUUCUUUAGCGAUACAGUUGGCAAUUCAAUGGAUGCAAUCUCGAAUUAAUCAAAACUAUUCUUUGAUAAUUAAUAAGAAACUUAAUAACAAUUUAGAGGAGAAUAAUGUAGAAAGGAAUAUUAAAAAUAUCAAUUUUGAAGAAAAAGAACAUAUAUCGUAUGAAAAAAUUGCAAGAGGGUUAUCUUGUUGCAUGUGGCCAGGACGACAAGAAAUUUUAAAGGGUACUUUAUUUGAUUUUUAUUUGGACGGUGCUCAUACUAUAGAAAGUAUGAAUUGUUGUAUUUCUUGGUUUACUAAUCAAAUAGAAAAUGUUAAUGGUAAACGAUAUUUGAUUUUCAAUAUGAUCGGAAAACGCAAUGUGUCUCUAUUCAUAAGAUCUUUGAAAAAGAUUCAAUUUCAUAAAGUUUAUUUUGUGCCUAAUCUUUCUGGAAUACCGGAAAUAGAUGUUCAGUCGACGAUCAAUUCGAUAAAUGAACAACAAAAUAAAUGUCAAGAGUAUUGCACAAUGUGGGGAGAGCAUUCCGUUGUUGCCGAAAAUGUAAUGGAAAUUUUUAAUGAUAUUAAGAUUGAACAUACCAUUGGGAAAACUAGUAUUUGUAAAGAUAGAUCUCAAGUACUUAUAACUGGGUCUUUGCAUUUAGUAGGGGCAGCUCUUGCUAUUUUGGAUCCUAAUUUGACUAUGACUACAAAAUUUUGACCCUUUCUUUUCUGGCACAACCGGCCGGUCACGUGUAUACAGUAGCCUACAAAAGUUUCGAAUCAUUCUAUUUUUCAUACGACGAUGAUACAAAACGUAUUCCACAUUUAUAUUUGAAAGCAAUAAUUUGUAUAUAUAUAUAUAUUGUUAAAUAAUUAAUUAUUAAAAAGUUAUUAUAUUUAAUGACUGUGCGAAAGUAUCCUGCCGCGUGUUAUUGUUUAUGACAAAAAAAUUUGAAAAGUAAGGAAACAUGAUUUGAACUUCUUCAUUUGAUUCAAUACUUUGUAGCUAUGUCCUUAGCAACGAUAAUUGCAAUGCAUCGAUGAGACAUGGAUGCAAUUCAUUGCGAGAUCCGUUCUUGUAACAAUAUUUCCUCACUCAUGUAACAAAUGAUUCUACAAUUCCGUUUUUUUGGAGUGAUUUUUCGUUCCAAUACGAUGUUUCAGGUCUUCCCACAGGUGUUAAAUUGAUUAUAAGUCCAGUAACUGAUCAGUUACGGCCCGUCAAGUAGGCCCGUAUAGCCGGUCAAGAAGGCCCACUCUUCAGCUCAGAAAAAAAUUCUUCACUAAACGCGAAGCAUGUUUUGGCAUCCAUAUUGCUGUGAAUCUCUAUCAUCGGAUCAAUACAGUCAUCAGAAAAUACUCUUCAAAUUUUAAUGUUCUCAUUACCGUGUUUUAUGGUAGAAAUUUGAUAUCUAAUAUUAUAU